RNAcentral lists this ribosomal RNA (838 nucleotides) under Escherichia fergusonii. RNAcentral's name for it is "bacterial SSU rRNA". It matches the Rfam family "Bacterial small subunit ribosomal RNA", at positions 634 to 1480 of the family's 1533-position model. The record is from RNAcentral. Lineage: Bacteria; Pseudomonadati; Pseudomonadota; Gammaproteobacteria; Enterobacterales; Enterobacteriaceae.
UUAAUCUCUAGAAAGACCGGGCGGUAUAUCUCCCAAAACUAAACGGUAAAACUGCGUAGUAAAGCAGGAGGACUCACGGGUGAUGAAGGCCGACCCCCUAGACGACGAUUGACCCUCAGGUGAGAAAGCUUGGGGAGCAAGCAGGAUUUGAUCCCCUGGUAGUCCACGCAGUAAACGACGUCGACUUGGAGGUUGUGCCCUUGAGGCGUGGCUUCCGGAGCUAACGCGUUAAGUCGACCGCCUGGGGAGUACGGCCGCAAGGUUAAAACUCAAAUGAAUUGACGGGGGCCCGCACAAGCGGUGGAGCAUGUGGUUUAAUUCGAUGCAACGCGAAGAACCUUACCUGGUCUUGACAUCCACGGAAGUUUUCAGAGAUGAGAAUGUGCCUUCGGGAACCGUGAGACAGGUGCUGCAUGGCUGUCGUCAGCUCGUGUUGUGAAAUGUUGGGUUAAGUCCCGCAACGAGCGCAACCCUUAUCCUUUGUUGCCAGCGGUCCGGCCGGGAACUCAAAGGAGACUGCCAGUGAUAAACUGGAGGAAGGUGGGGAUGACGUCAAGUCAUCAUGGCCCUUACGACCAGGGCUACACACGUGCUACAAUGGCGCAUACAAAGAGAAGCGACCUCGCGAGAGCAAGCGGACCUCAUAAAGUGCGUCGUAGUCCGGAUUGGAGUCUGCAACUCGACUCCAUGAAGUCGGAAUCGCUAGUAAUCGUGGAUCAGAAUGCCACGGUGAAUACGUUCCCGGGCCUUGUACACACCGCCCGUCACACCAUGGGAGUGGGUUGCAAAAGAAGUAGGUAGCUUAACCUUCGGGAGGGCGCUACCACUUUGAUCAGGG